CAUAUUUUUGUUGUACACUUGAGAAAACUGUUGAAUAACUUAAAGGUAUUAUUCUAGUCUAAUUUCAUUAUUCCUGAAUUGUUUUAGAAAAAAAGAGAUAUUUUUCAAAAUAUCUCUUUUUAUAAGAUAUCUUAUAUAAAUUUUCAAAAUGUAGUUACUAAUUUUAAAAUUAAUAUACGUUAUUUCAAUAUGAAUUUUGACUUUUAUAUUUCGAGUUCUUCAAGUGUCUUUACAUGAAAAUCAAAUUAAAUAUGAUUUUUAUAUUUGUUCAACUUUACCUUUUUAUCAAAAAAAAAAACAAUUGGUUCAUAUAAGGGUGAUUUAAGUGUAUAACCAAAUCUGAUAAAUAAAUUAAGAAUAUAGAAUCAUAAGUUUGAAAACAAAAGAAAUAACCAUCAGACAUUGUAAAAUGACAAAACUAUCCUCACACAUAAAAUGAAAUGAGAGAAAGAGUAGUAGUGACGUGAGAGUGAGAGGGGAGACAAAUACUUCUAACCAUCAUUUUUUCUUUUACCCCUAUUGAUUUAUACUUCUAUUUAUUAUCUGAUAUAAUUAAUGUAAAAUUAUAAUUUCUAUAGAAUAAAAUCUAAUCUUUUUUACUCUAUAUAUCAUGAUUUGGAUUUUUAAAAACGAAUAUAAACUUAUAAAAACAAAACAUAUUUAUGUAGCACAAAUAAAAUAGUAUAUAACUAAAUGAAAUAGUAUAGAAAUGAAACAUGGGAGUGGUGGUACCAAAAUGUUGAACAAAACUACAACGAAAUACAAAAUGUUAUACCAUAAAAAACACAAAAUAGAAGCCAAACCGAUUAAGUCAAACGAAUGUCGAAGAAAAACCGUUAUAUUCUAAUGAAUACAACAUAAAAAGAAAACCGUUAUAUUCGAAGCUUAGAGGUCGCCGGUUCGAAUGACGCUUGAGACAAAACAAAUAUUACAUGCUGUGGUUUCGAGUCUAGAAGGAUUACGGGUUUUGGCACAGAACCUCCUGGUAUUCAAAAAAAAAAAAAAAACUAAUCAUGCCAAGUUAAACACAUAUUAAAAAAGGCGCUAUACCCUAAAAGAUACAACAUAUGGAACCCAAACUACCGAUUUAAACGCACAACGAAUAAGAAACAUAUACCCUAAAAGAUACAAUAUAGGAAACUCAAACGACCAAAUUAAACGCAUACAAAAGAGAAAAUGUUAUUUCUUAAGAGAUACUAGUUAAGAAACCUAAACUGCCGAACUGUUGAAACUCUUAAAAUUAUUAAGAAUUUAAACUGUUUACCUUUUUUUUUAAAUCAUCAUUUUCAAAUUUCGAUUUUUUUUUAUAUUGCUUUUAAACAUAUGUUUUUAGGUUUUGAGAAAAUUACUAUUACUGACACGAAACACUCAUUCUUAAUAAGAAAAUUUUGAAAAUAUGAUUUUUAAAAAUAUAUUAAAAUAUUUGUCCCUUUUAUAUAGUACGAAACUUUAUCAUACUUUUUUAUAUUAGUUUCGAGUUAAACUAGUUUGUUUCAAAAAAUUCAAAUCAUAGUACAAACAGAAAAAAAAAUCUAUGUUUUUUUUAAAAUGAGAUUAUAAGAUUUAAACAAUUCAUAUGAAAAACUAGCUGUAAAUAUAAACAAAGGGAGAAUAAAAAAAAAAUAGAAAAAGAGAGCAAGGUUAGAAGAGAUGGGAAGAUGACAAAAGGGUAAAAGCUGUCAUUAAUACAUAUAAUACAAAGAAUAUCAUAGAUGUAUGGUUAGUAUGGUCAGUUGUUGAAUUAUAAUUUUUUUGUUGGUCAUAGAAUGCAAUUCCCCUUUAUAUAAUAGUGCUUAUAGAGAAAAAAGUUGAAAUCUGUUGGUUCAUGUAUAAAGUAUAAACAACUUUUUUUUUUUUUUUUCAUAUUUUUGUUGUACACUUGAGAAAACUGUUGAAUAACUUAAAGGUAUUAUUCCAGUCUAAUUUCAUUAUUCCUGAAUUGUUUUAGAAAAAAAAAGAUAUUUUAGAAUACCUCAUAUAAGAUAGACAAGUUUUUUUUUUUCUUUUUUUCUUUUUGUGGUUAUAUAAUCUCUCUCUUUCUCUCUGCCUUGCUCGAGCAUCGUACUCGUCACACGUUGCACUCUCAAUGCCUUCGCAGACCACACGAGCUACAAGAGCCAGGC
RNAcentral lists this long non-coding RNA (2123 nucleotides) under Arabidopsis lyrata. Its description in RNAcentral is "long non-coding RNA (ALYR_LNC000606)". The record is from RNAcentral. Lineage: Eukaryota; Viridiplantae; Streptophyta; Magnoliopsida; Brassicales; Brassicaceae.